UACGUAGGGGGUUAGCGUUGUCCGGAAUCAUUGGGCGUAAAGAGCGCGUAGGCGGCCAGAUAAGUCCGGUGUGAAAGUCACAGGCUCAACCUGUGAAUGCCGCUGGAAACUGUCUGGCUAGAGUCCGGAAGGGGCGAGUGGAAUUCCUGGUGUAGCGGUGAAAUGCGCAGAUAUCAGGAGGAACACCAAUGGCGAAGGCAGCUCGCUGGGACGGUACUGACGCUGAGGCGCGAAAGCGUGGGGAGCAAACAGG
This 253-nucleotide ribosomal RNA is filed under the name uncultured bacterium. RNAcentral describes it as "partial 16S ribosomal RNA". It matches the Rfam family "Bacterial small subunit ribosomal RNA", at positions 524 to 776 of the family's 1533-position model. The record is from RNAcentral.